AUUGAACGCUGGCGGCAGGCUUAACACAUGCAAGUCGAGCGAGCGGCGGACGGGUGAGUAAUGUAUGGGGAUCUGCCUGAUAGAGGGGGAUAACUACUGGAAACGGUGGCUAAUACAGCAUACCAUCGGAUGAACCCAUAUGGGAUUAGCUAGUAGGUGGGGUAAUGGCUCACCUAGGCGACGAUCUCUAGCUGGUCUGAGAGGAUGAUCAGCCACACUGGGACUGAGACACGGCCCAGACUCCUACGGGAGGCAGCAGUGGGGAAGAUUGCACAAUGGGCGCAAGCCUGAUACAGCCAUGCCGCGUGUAUGAAGAAGGCCUUAGGGUUGUAAAGCACUUUCAGCGAGGAGGCGUUACCCGCAGAAGAAGCACCGGCUAACUCCGUGCCAGCAGCCGCGGUAAUUC
Molecule: ribosomal RNA, 406 nt
Filed under: uncultured bacterium
Lineage: Bacteria
Description: partial 16S ribosomal RNA
Rfam family: Bacterial small subunit ribosomal RNA
Source: RNAcentral